Non-coding RNA from Odocoileus virginianus texanus, 583 nucleotides. NCBI's taxonomy places the organism in Eukaryota, Metazoa, Chordata, Mammalia, Artiodactyla, Cervidae. The record is from RefSeq and is a predicted model, not a curated record.
CCGCCCUGCCCCGGCCGCGCGCGCGGAACUAGGAGGCCCGCAGGAGAUCUCUUCCAGGGCGCAGGGCUGAGAUUGACCCACUCAGGGCCCAGUGGCUGGCCACAGAGCUGGAGGUAGAGAUGAUGGCCGACAUGUACAACAGAACGACCAGUGCCUGCCACCGGAAGUGCGUGCCUCCCCAUUACAAGGAAGCAGAGCUGUCCAAGGGCGAGUCCGUGUGCCUGCACCGCUGUGUCUCCAAGUACCUGGACAUCCGUGAGCGGAUGGGCAAGAAGUUGACAGGGUUGUCUGUGCGGGAUGAGGAGCUGAUGAAGAGGGUGCAGCAGGGUUCGGGGCCUGUGUGAGGCGCCCGACAGCACACCCUAAGAUGCACCCCAUCCCUUCCCACUUGUCUAAUAAGAGCGCCCCCCUGUUGGGUGUCGUCUGUGAAGACUGCCAGGCCUGGGCUCCUUCCCGAGAGUCUCCAGAAGCCUGGAGUAUGAUGGAGCCCUUUCCCGGGCGGAGAAGGGUAUCUGUCACAAUGGCCUGUGACUAUGUGUGUGAGUGUAUAUAUAUACUAUAUAUUAAAACAAGUUUGUUGACA